RNAcentral lists this ribosomal RNA (460 nucleotides) under uncultured bacterium. RNAcentral's name for it is "partial 16S ribosomal RNA". It matches the Rfam family "Bacterial small subunit ribosomal RNA", at positions 338 to 795 of the family's 1533-position model. The record is from RNAcentral.
CCUACGGGAGGCAGCAGUGAGGAAUAUUGGUCAAUGGACGAGAGUCUGAACCAGCCAAGUAGCGUGAAGGAUGACUGCCCUAUGGGUUGUAAACUUCUUUUAUAAAGGAAUAAAACGAGGCACGUGUGCCUGUUUGCAUGUACUUUAUGAAUAAGGAUCGGCUAACUCCGUGCCAGCAGCCGCGGUAAUACGGAGGAUCCGAGCGUUAUCCGGAUUUAUUGGGUUUAAAGGGAGCGUAGAUGGGUUGUUAAGUCAGUUGUGAAAGUUUGCGGCUCAACCGUAAAAUUGCAAUUGAUACUGGCAGUCUUGAGUACAGGUGAGGUAGGCGGAAUUCGUGGUGUAGCGGUGAAAUGCUUAGAUAUCACGAAGAACCCCGAUUGCGAAGGCAGCUUACUAAACUGUGACUGACAUUGAUGCUCGAAAGUGUGGGUAUCAAACAGGAUUAGAUACCCGGGUAGUC